This 491-nucleotide non-coding RNA is filed under the name Georgenia sp. SUBG003. RNAcentral's name for it is "bacterial LSU rRNA". It matches the Rfam family "Bacterial large subunit ribosomal RNA", at positions 237 to 691 of the family's 2925-position model. Lineage: Bacteria; Bacillati; Actinomycetota; Actinomycetes; Allobogoriellales; Allobogoriellaceae. The record is from RNAcentral.
CCGUGAGUAGUGGCGAGCGAAGCGGACGAGGCUGAACCGGGGUGUGUGACAGCCGGCGGGCGUUGCACCCUCGGGGUCGUGGGACCUGCUGACCAGCUCUGCCGGGCUGGGGAGUGAGAAGUCGCGGUGUAGUCGAACGGUCUGGGAAGGCCGGGCACAGUGGGUGAGACCCCCGUAGACGAAACGUCGUGGCCUCCUUGCAGGGAUCCCGAGUAGCACGGGGCCCGUGAAAUCCCGUGUGAAUCUGCCAAGACCACUUGGUAAGCCUAAAUACUACCUGGUGACCGAUAGCGGACAAGUACCGUGAGGGAAAGGUGAAAAGUACCCCGGGAGGGGAGUGAAAUAGUACCUGAAACCGGAUGCUUACAAUCCGUCGGAGCCUCCAUGGCUGGGGUGACGGCGUGCCUUUUGAAGAAUGAGCCUGCGAGUUAGUGGCAUGUGGCGAGGUUAACCCGGGUGGGGAAGCCGUAGCGAAAGCGAGUCCGAACAGG